Molecule: unclassified non-coding RNA, 327 nt
Filed under: uncultured Pseudoalteromonas sp.
Lineage: Bacteria; Pseudomonadati; Pseudomonadota; Gammaproteobacteria; Alteromonadales; Pseudoalteromonadaceae
Description: partial 16S-23S ribosomal RNA intergenic spacer
Source: RNAcentral
CCUCCUUAUACGAUUUAGAACUUAUUUGUUCGUAGUGUCCACACAGAUGAUUGUUAGUUAGUUUUACCCUUUGGGUUUAACUGAUUAAUAUGCUCUUUAAAAAUUUGGAAAAGCUGAUAAUAAAAUUCGUAUGAAUAACAGUGUUAUUUGUACAGAGUUUUCAAAAGUAAAAAAGAAUGAUAGCAGUAUCAUUCAGUGCCAAUUUAAUCAUUUAUGAUUAAUUGGUAUCUACUUUAGUAUUCAAUAUUAACUUCUGGCGAAGUUAAACUGUCACAUAACAAAGACCCGUUUGGGUUGUAUGGUUAAGUGACUAAGCGUACACGGUGG